RNAcentral lists this ribosomal RNA (492 nucleotides) under uncultured bacterium. Its description in RNAcentral is "partial 16S ribosomal RNA". It matches the Rfam family "Bacterial small subunit ribosomal RNA", at positions 29 to 507 of the family's 1533-position model. The record is from RNAcentral.
AGUGAACGCUGGUGGUAGGCCUAACACAUGCAAGUCGAACGGCAGCACAGUAAGAGCUUGCUCUUACGGGUGGCGAGUGGCGGACGGGUGAGGAAUACAUCGGAAUCUACUUUUUCGUGGGGGAUAACGUAGGGAAACUUACGCUAAUACCGCAUACGAUCUACGGGUGAAAGCAGGGGAUCUUCGGACCUUGCGCGAUUGAAUGAGCCGAUGUCGGAUUAGCUAGUUGGCGGGGUAAAGGCCCACCAAGGCGACGAUCCGUAGCUGGUCUGAGAGGAUGAUCAGCCACACUGGAACUGAGACACGGUCCAGACUCCUACGGGAGGCAGCAGUGGGGAAUAUUGGACAAUGGGCGCAAGCCUGAUCCAGCCAUACCGCGUGGGUGAAGAAGGCCUUCGGGUUGUAAAGCCCUUUUGUUGGGAAAGAAAAGCAGCAGGUUAAUACCCCGCUGUUCUGACGGUACCCAAAGAAUAAGCACCGGCUAACUUCGUG